This is a long non-coding RNA of Pseudomyrmex gracilis, 2413 nucleotides long. RefSeq lists it as uncharacterized. The transcript is spliced from 2 exons. The record is from RefSeq and is a predicted model, not a curated record. Lineage: Eukaryota; Metazoa; Arthropoda; Insecta; Hymenoptera; Formicidae.
UCCUUUCAAUAACCUCUGCGCAGUUGAGAUUAACUUUCGUGUAAACAGGUCGUCACCACCAAGUGCACGUACGCGUGUUGCUGCGACUCAUUCACGCGCAAGUGUCGCGCAUCCGUACACGCUUGCGUACUCGAUCUGUCUCCAAUGAUAAGCUGGGAUCGAAAAUCAACUCCACAUAGUGUCUUCAAUAUUUUCUCAACAUCUACGCGUGAACACGUACACAGACAAUCAUUGACAAAAUGGAAAACAACACAUUAACAGAUGUAUCAUCUAAAUGGUAAAGUCGGUACGAAGCAAACCCCCCAUUUAGAUAUUAGUAGUUCAGAGAUGAUCGCUCAAUGUCCGAUAAUAUUGAUGGAGAACUGGAGAGAAAUAAUAAAAAAAGAAGUAAGAAAAGCUUUAAACCAAGCAAGAACUGGAAAAGUAGUCGGACUGAAUGAAGUGAACGUGGAACUGCUUAAGCUGAUCAAUAUUGAUGGCAACAACAUCCUCUUGAAGCUGUUCAAUAACAUUUACACCACUGAGAACAUUUUUGCGAACUGGCUGAGAUCCACCUUUAUCAGUCUAUCCAAGAAUUUCGAAUGCGAAACGAUGCAGUGACUAUAGGCUUAUUAGCCAUAAGGUAUGCAUUGAAAGUGUUCUUGAGAAUCCAGCACACUCGAUUAUAGAGGAAAAUAGAGGAGAAUAUUAGUGAGACUCAAUUUGGAUUUACGAACAGCCUGGGGACAAGAGAAGCUUUGUUUUCUAUGCAGGUUCUUGUUCAAAAAUGUCUAGACCAAUAGAAAAGUGUUUUUGCUUGCUUUAUUGAUUAUGAGAAAGCCUUUGACACCGUAAAACGUGACAUCUUCAUCAGUUAACUAAGACGUAUUGGGCUCGACAGUAAAGACAUCAUUAAGAAACAUCAUUAAGAAACUGUACUGGAAUCAAAAAGCUCGGAUUAAGAUAGGAGAUCACAACAUUGAGAAAAUCAAAAUGCUAAAAGAGGUGAGACAAGAAUGCAUCUUGUCACCGGCUGUCUUUAACUUGUAUUCUGAAGCUGUAUUCCAAAAAGCCUUAGAAGAAAUUGACAAGAGAAUUAAGGUUAACGGCAAGAGAAUCAACAAUAUCCGCUACGCAGAUGACACUGUUCUCGCUGACAACUUAGAGAAUCGUCAAUUGCUCAUGGACAAAAUCAACGAGAAGAGCAAAAACUUCGGGCUCAGGAUGAAUAUCCACAAGACAAAAAUCUUGGUGGUUAGCAAAAACAAAAUUGACAAUGUUGUAAUCACCUUGGAUGGAUUGAGAGCGUGUCGCGACGAAGUAGCACCGUCGGGCCGGGAAGUCGCGCGAAAUGCUGACGAUGGUAAAGCGAAGAAAAGCUGCGUACUUCAGCCACAUAUUCCAAAACAACAAGUAUAAUCUUCUGCAAUUUAUCAUCGAGGACAAAUUAGAAGAAAAACACGGAAUCAAUCAGAAAAAUUUCUUGUGGAUGCGGAAUCUGCUGGUUUUACGUCCGCGACAUGGGCGCGCUGAUACGAUGCACGCAAAAUAAAGAAAAAUACCACAUGAUGAUCGCAAACUUUCUGUAAGAAAGGGGCACCAAAAGAAGAAGUUCGAGUCAAGUAGUUUAUCAUCAGAUGUAACAACAGCGAAUCGCGUUAAUUCUAAUCUAAUAUUACAGACGUAUAUAUUCAAAUCUAAUUAAUUAAAGAGACAUUAAUAUCCUUGUGAUAUGUUCAAUUAAAUACAUUAAUUUAAAUGAUAAAAUAACCAGUUUUUUCGUCGAAACUCUUUCUUAUUACUUAAAUUCAAACAUCAUUCUCGCUUUUCAUUUCAAAAAGGCUAACAAAUUGUGCGAUUGCGUACUCUUUGGAGAAUUGUUAUAGAAUCAGAAUUUAUCAGAGUAAUGAGUUAAUGAAGUGCUAAGCAAAAGUCGUUUGAAGGCAAUCAGGUGAGUAAAAUAUCGUUUAUAAUAUCGUUCCGAAGUUUGGAAAUAUUGAAAAUGUUUUUGUGCGAGCAACACAAAGAACGCAAUUUGAGAAGAAAUUUGCUUCAAACUUGUCGACGGCGAUUCAUGCCAUCAUAUACAACUUAAGCGCAAGUUCUCCGACCGCGAGAACUACCGAACCGCUUCCGCGAAAGCAUUUCAGGAAGCAAGACAGUUGUAAUAAUAGCUCGUCUCGUUAUUAAAGUUUUAAUAUCAGCGCAAAAGUCGACGUCUUGAUAUAAAAACUUGAAAGAUGGCUGGAAAGAAGAAACGAUACUCGCUCUUGCCUAUCUUCGAUAUUAUCAAAACACUAAAAAAAGACCGACUCUUCGAGAAGAACUAACUUUUUACUCGAAAGAUGAGUGAUUGAAAUGUUUUAUCUUACCGGAAAAACGCAUGUUAACCUGUAACGCGUCUUUUUUUAAAUAAAAGUUUUGGUUGAAAACA